CGGGGGGGCUAGCGUUGUUCGGAAUUACUGGGCGUAAAGGGCGCGUAGGCGGUCUGCUAAGUUGGAUGUGAAAACUCUGGGCUUAACCCAGAGCCUGCAUUCAAUACUGACAGGCUAGAGUUCUGGAGGGGGAUAGCGGAAUUCCUGGUGUAGCGGUGAAAUGCGUAGAUAUCAGGAGGAACACCGGUGGCGAAGGCGGCUAUCUGGACAGAGUCUGACGCUGAGGCGCGAAAGCUAGGGGAGCAAACAGGAUUAGAUACCCUGGUAGUCCUAGCCCUAAACGAUGGAUACUUGGUGUAACUGGGAUUGAAUCCAGUUGUGCCGAAGCUAACGCAUUAAGUAUCCCGCCUGGGGAGUACGGUCGCAAGGCUG
Molecule: ribosomal RNA, 372 nt
Filed under: uncultured organism
Description: bacterial SSU rRNA
Rfam family: Bacterial small subunit ribosomal RNA
Source: RNAcentral